RNAcentral lists this ribosomal RNA (497 nucleotides) under uncultured bacterium. RNAcentral's name for it is "partial 16S ribosomal RNA". It matches the Rfam family "Bacterial small subunit ribosomal RNA", at positions 28 to 507 of the family's 1533-position model. The record is from RNAcentral.
GAUGAACGCUGGCGGCGUGCCUAAUACAUGCAAGUCGAGCGAACAGACGAGGAGCUUGCUCCUCUGACGUUAGCGGCGGACGGGUGAGUAACACGCGGAUAACCUACCUAUAAGACUGGGAUAACUUCGGGAAACCGGAGCUAAUACCGGAUAAUAUAUUGAACCGCAUGGUUCAAUGGUGAAAGACGGUUUUGCUGUCACUUAUAGAUGGAUCCGCGCCGCAUUAGCUAGUUGGUAAGGUAACGGCUUACCAAGGCAACGAUGCGUAGCCGACCUGAGAGGGUGAUCGGCCACACUGGAACUGAGACACGGUCCAGACUCCUACGGGAGGCAGCAGUAGGGAAUCUUCCGCAAUGGGCGAAAGCCUGACGGAGCAACGCCGCGUGAGUGAUGAAGGUCUUCGGAUCGUAAAACUCUGUUAUUAGGGAAGAACAAAUGUGUAAGUAACUAUGCACGUCUUGACGGUACCUAAUCAGAAAGCCACGGCUAACUACGUG